CUUUGAUCUGGACAAACCCAACUGCCUUUAUUGUUGCACAGCCUUCUGUGUCAUCAGUGGAGGAAGUGUUUCCCUGUACUCUAAACUCACCUUCUAUCAUGACCUGUUUGGGGUGUUUAGAUCAUUGCAGGUAAACACUGAGCUCGUUGCCUGAGCCAAAUAGCCCUGGUGCCAUAACAGCAACCUCACAACACCGUAGCAACAAACACCUAUUACACUUGUUACCUGUCAGGAGCUACUUUGUGCACUUCGAAUGGAUUAUUACCUUAUUGAAUCCCACAACAACCUUAGGAGUCACCAGGAUAACAGCAGAUCUACAGAAGCAGAGGAGGAUGGAGCCAAUGGCCAAGGCCACAGACACACCAUAGCUAUGAGCUGGACCCCAUGGACCUUAUGAACUAGGAGUCUUGUGCUACAGAUCGACGUUUGGCCCUGGGUCAGCGGCGCUCCCUUCAGACCAGUGGCGACUGCCUGAGAGACUUCUGGGCCAAGCAGGCGGUCAUAUAUUUCUUCCUUAAUCCUGUGUGCGUGGGCGAAGCAUCAGGCAAAGGUAUAAAUAAAAUGUUCUGAC
This 571-nucleotide long non-coding RNA is filed under the name Zalophus californianus (California sea lion). RNAcentral describes it as "lncRNA (ENSZCAG00015014568.1)". The record is from RNAcentral. Lineage: Eukaryota; Metazoa; Chordata; Mammalia; Carnivora; Otariidae.